This 3235-nucleotide long non-coding RNA is filed under the name Olea europaea subsp. europaea. The record is from RNAcentral. Lineage: Eukaryota; Viridiplantae; Streptophyta; Magnoliopsida; Lamiales; Oleaceae.
CCAAGGAUAAGAAUUCCAAUAAUGCUACUGGUACAUUGUGCCAUUCAAUAUAGUGUCCAAAAUAGUGAUGUGACGUUUUUUUCCCCAAUUUCUCGUGCCCAGAAAAAACCAACAAAUUAAAACCGAAGAAAAUAAAAAACGAGCCCUACCAUUCAUUUCCCUUUCAACUUCACUCCGUCCCUCUACUGCCCGCCUGCCUGCUUUCACUCCGACGAUGGCGACAGCGACGUCCUCUCCUCAACGCAGUCGACGCUCCAUUUCCUCCACGAGCCCUAGCUUCUAUCUUCAUUUUCACAUUCAUUCCCUCUCUCUACUCACUGCCUACGUUCCGCAACCACUCCAGUCGUUCGUUCCCUUUCCCGACGCCCGUGACGGCGACCCCCUUUUCUGCAAUGCAUUCGACACCCACGUAAUGGAAGGGUUUUCAGACCAAUUUAUGUCAUUCCCCGAUGUGGCUGCCGGUUGAUUUGAAGAUACCACCGGCUCAAAUGGUACUUUUCCUUUCCUUUCAAUUCGAAAUAUCAUGGUUUGGGCUGUAGAAAAUUCCAUUUGAAAUGAACCAUUGAUUUUCCUUCUUCCUCCGUCUCUGUAGAGAACGACAGGCCUAUUGAAGGAGGGUCACAUGAUGUUUCGGACAACAUGGUUGUUGAGAUCACCGACCAAGGUAUGCGUUGUUCAUUCGUGAAUUUUGCAGUUAUAAUUUCGUCAUAUGCCCAAUGUCAAUAAAUGGACAGAUUAAAAUAGUGGAAUUGUGAUAUUUGAAAUGCUUCUCUGUGUUCUAUUUGAAAGAGAUGAAGUGCUAUAAGUGUUAGGUUCAACAGUGGAUGACAGAAUUAAAAAAAAAUUGGAAAGCAGCCUAAUUGUUUAUCACCAUAUUAUUUACAUUGAAACAAUCGUAUCAUGUCUAUUGGUGUAAAGCCUAAUGUGAAAUGGCAUUCUUGCAGGAGUGGAUGAUGGCAUUCUUGAAGGAGUGGAUGUUAACUCGUCUAAUAUUGUGGGUGACGACGUUUUGGCCAACAAAAUAGUAGGUGUUGAAAAUGAGAUAGUUGUGCCUACAAAAAUUUGCGGAUGAGAUCGAAGUAUUCGAAUUCUACAAGAGAUAUGCUUAUCAUGUAGGAUUUCCUGUUAGAAAACGAACUACAAAGAGGGGAGAUGAUGGGAUAGUAAGGAAUGUGAGUUUUACCUGUAGUCGAGAAGGGCGACGAAAUCGUAACCAAAGUACUUCCUUGAAUCCUCUACCAACAAUCCAAACUGGGUGUAAAGCCAAAUUGACUGUGUCCUCUGAUGCACGUAAAUUGUUUCGAAUAAACUUUUUGCAUUUAGAGCAUAACCAUAAAACAAGCCCAUCUAAGUUUAGGUUGUACAGAUGUAAUAGGCAAGUUAGUGAACGUGUGAAAAGAAAGCUUGAGGUAAAUGACAUAGCAGGAAUACCAUUGCAUAAGAGCUUUAAUUCAACUGUAGUGGAGGCGGGUGGUUUUGAUAACAUGACAUGUGUUGAGAAAGAUUGCAGAAACUUCAUCGAGAAAGUGCGACGUUUAAGACUUGGGGAAGGGGAUGCCGUUGCAAUUCAAGCAUAUUUCUCGGAAAUGCAAACUCGUAGUCCUGGUUUUUUCUUUUGCAUGGACUUGGAUGAUGAUUGUCGGUUCAGAAAUGUGUUUUGGGCAGAUAACAGAUGUCGUGAAGCAUAUAAGGAAUUUGGGGAUGUCGUUACAUUUGAUACCACAUACCUCACUAACAAGUAUGAUAUGCCUUUUGCUCCUUUUGUGGGGGCCAAUCACCAUGGGCAGUCAACUCUUCUUGGUUGUGGUUUGGUUUCAAAUGAAGAUACUAACACAUUUGUUUGGUUAUUUCGGACAUGGCUAGAAUGCAUGAAUGAUCAAGCUCCUAAUGGAAUAAUUACAGAUCAAGAUCGAGCUAUGCAAAAUGCUAUUCAAAUUGUCUUCCCUAACACGAAGCAUAGAUGGUGCUUAUGACAUAUACUAAAGAAGUUGCCGGAAAAGUUUGGCUAUCACAAAGCCAAAGGCUCAAUAUUACAUGCUAUACAUGUGUUAGUCUACGACACAAUAAGUUGUGAAGAAUUUGAGGAAGGAUGGUUGAAUAUACUUGAUCAUUUUAAAUUACGAGAUCAUGAUUGGUUGAGUGGACUCUAUAAAGAGAGAAGUCGUUGGGUACCAUGCUACCUGAACACUACAUUCUGGGUUGGUAUGUCAACCACACAAAGGAGUGAGAGCAUGAAUACAUUUUUUGACGGUUAUGUGCAUUCGAAAACUUCUUUAAAGCUUUUUGUUGAGCAAUAUGAGCGGGCAUUGCGAAGUAAAGUGGAGAAGGAAUUUCAAGCUGAUUUUAGAUCAUUUUCACAAAUGAUUCCAUGUGCCACUAAGUAUGAUAUGGAGAAACAAUUUCAAGAUGUGUAUACUUUAUCAAAAUUUAGAGAGUUCCAACAAGAAUUCACGGGGAAGGUAUACUGUGAAGUCUUAUCUACAACAGACUCGCUCGAGCAAACGAAGUACGAAGUACGUGAGGAUAUCAUUCUCAGUGAAGGAAUGAAGAAAAGAAUGUUUAUAGUUCAUUUCCGUAGAGACAGUUGUGAGAUUGAUUGCAAUUGUCAUUUGUUUGAGUUUCGAGGCAUCAUUUGCAAACACUCAAUAUCGGUUUUAAUUCGGAAUGACGUACAAUUGCUUCCGGAUAAGUAUGUCUUGCGGAGAUGGAGGCGAGAUGUUAGUAGACCAUACAUACGAGUUCCAGCAACAUACGAUGGUUUGGUUUGUACAGCUGAACAAUUAAGGUAUGAGAGGUUGCGUCACGCUUUUACCAAGAUGGCAGACUUGGUAGCGCGAAACGAAGAACGGUCUAAUCAUCUAUUGGGGUGGAUUGAAUUCCAAACAAACCAAUUAUCUAAAUCAGACGUUGGUAACUCGGGGUUUGCACGUGUCUGAAGCUCGGAAUGACGAAAGCUUGCACAUUUUGGACCCGAAGCUUACGAAAAGAAAGGGUGCCCCCAAAAAAUUGCGCAAAAAGAGUCCGUUGGAGGCGAGUUCAAAAAAAUCAAAGGGUCGAAAAAUGGUCUUGCUAUCUCUACAUUGCUCUUAUCAGUUAAUGGUUUGUGUAAUCAUUUAAGUGCCUUUUAACCAACUUAUUGUUUUCAACAUGUGUAGGUUCCAGCAAAUUCAACCCUUCCAAUUAGGUGUAGUAGACCGGAAGAAAAUGUCGCGAACACACAAAAUGAUGACGAGGC